RNAcentral lists this ribosomal RNA (429 nucleotides) under Chloroflexota bacterium. RNAcentral's name for it is "Chloroflexi bacterium partial 16S ribosomal RNA". It matches the Rfam family "Bacterial small subunit ribosomal RNA", at positions 355 to 776 of the family's 1533-position model. The record is from RNAcentral. Lineage: Bacteria; Bacillati; Chloroflexota.
UGGGGAAUAUUGCACAAUGGGCGCAAGCCUGAUGCAGCCAUGCCGCGUGUGUGAAGAAGGCCUUCGGGUUGUAAAGCACUUUCAGCGGGGAGGAAGGCGAUAAGGUUAAUAACCUUGUCGAUUGACGUUACCCGCAGAAGAAGCACCGGCUAACUCCGUGCCAGCAGCCGCGGUAAUACGGAGGGUGCAAGCGUUAAUCGGAAUUACUGGGCGUAAAGCGCACGCAGGCGGUUGAUUGAGUCAGAUGUGAAAUCCCCGGGCUUAACCCGGGAAUUGCAUCUGAUACUGGUCAGCUAGAGUCGUGUAGAGGGGGGUAGAAUUCCAGGUGUAGCGGUGAAAUGCGUAGAGAUGUGGAGGAAUACCGGUGGCGAAGGCGGCCCCCUGGACAAAGACUGACGCUCAGGUGCGAAAGCGUGGGGAGCAAACAGG